CCACACCUAAAACUUUCCACGUGAACCGUAUUUUUGACGUUGGGGACUCCUGGCUUCGGCCGGUUGAGACCUAUCACGCGACCGCUCGGGCUGAAAAGUCGGGGCCAGUAGCCUUUUUUAAACCCAUUCCGAACUACUGAACCAUACUGUGGGGACGAAAGUCCUUGCUUUUAACUAGAUAGCAACUUUCAGCAGUGGAUGUCUAGGCUCGCACAUCGAUGAAGAACGCUGCGAACUGCGAUACGUAAUGCGAAUUGCAGGAUUCAGUGAGUCAUCGAAAUUUUGAACGCAUAUUGCACUUCCGGGUUAUGCCUGGGAGUAUGCCUGUAUCAGUGUCCGUACAUCAAACUUGGCUCCCUUCCUUCCGUGUAGUCGGUGGAUGGGGACGCGCAGACGUGAAGUGUCUUGCGGCGGCGGCUUCGGCCGGCUGCUGCGAGUCCUUUGAAAUGUAAGACCUGUUCUUCUCUUUGCCCGAAAAGCGUUGCGUGAGUGUGGUUGUGGAGGCUGCCGUUUGCGGCAUGUCGGCGACUGAUUUCGUGCUGAGGCGUGUGGGGAGAGGCUCGAUUCGCGGUAUGGUUGGCUUCGGCUGAACUUCUGCUUAUUGGGCUUUUUUCCUGGCUUUGGCGUUUUGCGGGGUCGGUGUACCGUAGCUGCGGGUGGCUUGGCCUUUGAACCGUAUUCGUGCGGAGCGAAGUAAGGUGGCCGUGACUGUAGUGUUAUGGCCGAGGGGGACGCAACCAUUUGGGAAACUACUGCUUUUCUGCCGGCUUUCGGGCUGGCGGGGCUGCAUCUCGA
RNAcentral lists this ribosomal RNA (795 nucleotides) under Phytophthora quininea. RNAcentral describes it as "eukaryotic LSU rRNA". The stretch from base 184 to 338 matches the Rfam family "5.8S ribosomal RNA". The record is from RNAcentral. Lineage: Eukaryota; Oomycota; Peronosporomycetes; Peronosporales; Peronosporaceae.